ACCACAGGAGCCGCCCGAGCCGCCCAAGCUGCAACCAGAGAAGCGAGCCGGCUGCUGCUAGAACCUCUGAGCUGGCAAGUUCCAAGACCCGGGUCUGGCUCAGCUGGGGGGGGCGGGACCAUGAAGCCGCUCCGCCCCCGUCCGAGCUCCGCCCCUGCCUGGCCUUUGGCCGCGGCCAGCAGUUCCGCCCGGUGCCAGCUCAGAGAUCUGCGUCCUGCCAGCUCCGGCCUGGAACGCCCUGGUAUCACGCAGCAGAUACUCAGUGGUCAGCAUCUCGCUGCACAGAACACGGGAAAGUGUAGCUCGGAGUAGGGCAAACGAAGACACUGCAGACAGGAGUGCGUGCGAAGGACCCGAAUAAGAUCCGGGAGGAGGACUAGGGUUGGAGUGCAGAAGCUGUGGUGAUGGAGAUGCGAGAGUUUGGGGCCUAGGGGAACUGUACUGGGCUGCAUGAGGUAAAGAAACCUGAGACUUGGAGUGUUUGUCGAUUGAAGCCGAGCUCCUGCCAGAAGCUAGCCUCCAUCCUUGAAACAGCCUGAGUGGCCUUAAAUGAAGUAGGGGCUUUGUGGACUUCCUGGCACCCUCCCUUACCCUCCCCGAACUCAAAAUUUGCUUUCGUGGAGAAACUCUGCCAUUAGUAAGAGUUGGCAGCUUCUGCGAGGGUAGGCUAUGGAGCAUCCAGCCCACAGAAAGGCCUCAGGUGUGCAAUUCCCAGGCCACAAUUCCAAGGAACCUGUGGUCCCUGUGUGUAGUGUAUCCUUUAUAAUCUUGAAGCUAAGUUUGGGGCUGGAUGUUUCUUUACAGUGGAAUCUAUCUUGUGUGGGACUUUAGCAUCCUUCAGUCUUGGCACCCAUUCUUUGUAUCAAUAGUAUCUCCCCUCCUACUCCCAGGUUUGACAACUCAAAUGGUCUCCAAACAUCCCUCCCACAGAAACACAAAAUAACCAUCUGGGAGUUCAAUCUGGAAAUGAAGGAGGGUUAUUCCAUCAGUGUCUUCCUUCUAUGGAUAGUCAUAUACAGAUCCUAACAUUUGUCAGGGAGUGGCACACGAGAGGACUGAAAUGGGGAGAUGAGGAGACACUCUCUUUGGCCUGGAGCUUGAUUCAGAAAAGGCAUUGAGAAGGCAGUGAGUCAGGCAUUGUUCAUCUGAGCUCCAAAGCCCCCAACAAUAUCAAAUGAUGGAAGAAAUUGGCCUUGAUACAUUUCAGGAGGAAUUUCAAGUGACCGAUGGGAAUGGGAGUAUUGCAGGGUGCCCCUAUCCACCAGGAGAGACCUAGAAGUUUAGUUUAUUGGAUGGUGACCAUACUGAGAGCAGGAGAGGGACAAAUUUAUAAGUCUUCAGGACAGAGGAAGAGCUAACACCAACUGUGGAUUCAAGGCCACUAAAGAGAGCUGAGAAAAGGUGAAGAUCCUGUGGAGCUGAAAAAGACUAAGUGCUGAACAGUCCUACAACUGAGCAGGUCUUUCUAUGCAACUAAAACCCACAACUGGAACCCUACAUAGCAUAGAAAGUGAUGUCACCCUGAAAUCCAAUGCCUAGUUUGAAGCUCCAGGUACACACUUGUGCAUUCAGAGUUUAGAGGCCUACUCCACUAACUCCAAGGCCCUUUACACUAUGGGCCUUGCCCCUGUCACUACAGAGUUACAGUGUAAAGAAUUACAUGAGCCAGGUGAUAACACCAAGCUGGUGAGGAAAGGAACCUGCCAAGUGCACACUGUAAACUCCAGCCACUCUCUGUAUAGCAAUUCCUCUUACCAGGGGCUCUGCAGAGCUGAAUACACUAUUUGCAUGUAACCAGUCAUGUCUCAACCAUCUUGGAAAGGCUAUAUGGCUUGUCACAGUUCAGACCAUGCAUCAUGGAAGCAGUUUUCAGAGCUGCCCCUGGAAUAACUACACUAUGCUGGCUUGCAGAAUUUUGUGCUGUAAAAAGCCUCAGAGACUCCUGGCACCUGUUCUGACCACUGUCCUGCAGCAAACCCAUCUUCAGAGAAGAUAGCCCCCAAAAGACAGAGUUCCUAGAGGCAGGAGAAUUAUGUAGUCUAAGGCUGUUAAAUUGCCUACCAACCACUGCCUCCUUCCAUGCCUAGUUCCUGGUGUGUUGAUCAUGGACCUGUAGGGGCCUGGGACAGUGUCUCUGAGACUUUCCAGGUCCCUUUGGGAAGUUCUGUAAGGAAAGAGCCUGACAUAUGUCAUUCCAUGCAGGUUUGCUGUCUGUGAGUCAGAGAAAAGUGGGAGGAAGAGAGUCACAGCUGUCUUGGCUGAAGCCAAGGGCCUCCCUCAAGUCCAUAGAGCAAGGGGCUCAGAUUCAAAUCCAGGCAGACUGGCCAUUUAUAAUCUAAGGUAUGUAAAUAUGGGGCACAAAAGUACAGAAGGUUGUCCAUGGUAACUGGAAGAGCACAGCUAAGGGGCAGCAAGCUGUAGUGACCCCACCAGUGGGCAAUUGACUCUUGUGGCAACUCUCAAAAGAGAAGGGAUGGCCUUAGGAGAGGUUCAGCUACAUCAAGAUUCAUACAUGGAAAUGACAGCUUGACACUGCAAGUGGACCCUAGUUGUUAGUCAAAUAACCAUAAAGGCCUGAACAAAGAAACCAAUGAUAUAAUACCAAGCCAUCGCUGUGCAGUGGUGGCAUUUUAAUCCUAGCACUCAGGAGGCAGAGGCAGAGGCAUGUGUAUCUCCGAGUUCAAAGCCAGCCUGGUCUACAGAGUGAGCUCCAGGACAGACAGGGGUACACAGGGCUACACAGGCUACAAAAAACCAGGGUUAAAAAAAAAGAGUACCAAGCCAGCUAGCUAUGUGUCUAGCCUAGAUAGGCUGCAUAUCAUGAUUUCUGAUCUGAAACAGCUGAUGUAUAUCAGCAGUUGCCUGUGAAGCUGGGAGUCAGAUAAUUCUGCCUAGGUCAGGAGAAUGUGUAGAAAAGCUGAGCACCAGGGUAAGAACUGAAGGGCAAGGGAUACUUGUGUUGGCACCUGGUGCUAUAGUAGCUGAGAGCAUUGAGCAAAAGUAUGAAAAGCAAACUCAGAGAAUAGGGUGGAAUGUGGUGGGGCCACCAUAUGACAGUGACCAUAACCUAGGGUGUGGCUGAGUGGCCCAUACACAUUGGUCUGUAGUCACUUAGGACAUCAGCUAGAAGGACUAACCUUCUGAUUCUCAUGACAAAAAUGGCCAAAGAAAAUCUACUUCCUGAUGCCUAAGGAAAGAGCAGUGUCUCCACACAGCCACCACCUAAAUUUCUGUGUGUGCCUGAAACAUUAAAAAAUUGUAGUAGCCAGUCUGUCCACUUUCCCAAGGAGAAGGCUGUGUAUAUACCUUGUGUUCACAUAAACAUCCCCCAAAUUAUAUAGUUGUCACAGAAGUCACAGACCUUUCAGCUCUGUCUACAAGUAGAUGGACCAUAGACACAAAAGACUGUGACAUAACCAGGAAGCUGUGCACAGACACCAGCCCUAAGUGUAAUGGGGUUCACACUAGUGUACCUUUGAUGCCUUUGGACCCUGAGCUGCUGAGAAGCAUCCAUCUGCUCCUCACCAAGCCUAGUCCCCCAAACAGCUAGGGAGGCCACAGGGCAGUAGCAUCCCACCUAGAGUACACCACUGGCAUGAGAGCCUGGUGCCUGGUUGAGAGCUAUCUUGGGUGGGUGUUACCCGGAACCUGGCAGGUACUCAAUCUGCAACUGAAUCCCAGAAUGCACUUAUGCCUGAUCUACCUGUGAUCACCCUAUAGAAUAGCAAGAUAAUUCCAGAUAACAACAGGAAGUUAGCACCCAGCAGAUGCCCUUACUUUCCUGAAAUUUCAUAGCUGAGAAAAAGACUCACUCCACCAUGUUAGUGGUAUCUACUUUCUUAGAUAGGAAAGCACCUCCAGACCCUAACAGGUUCUGUAACCAGUUAAGGGAUGGGAGAUUGUGUACCUGUGCCUGAUGCUAUCCUGCAUAAGGCCUAAUCAGCCUCUGCUAAACUAGAACUCCAGUCCCACCAAUGCUGCAGUGCCCAUAGACUGGGAGAUAGACCCUAUUGAUCUGUCAUGUUGGGAAGGCUGAACUAUGCAUAUGUGGGCACAGCCCUGACUGAAUCAAAGGUGGGAAGCUGUCUGUAUGUAGGAACAGGGGGAAAGAGAACAGUGUGAUCACCACUCAGUAAUUUCCCAGCUGGCUUGGAUUUGGUGUCUCUCCUCUAGUUCAUAGCUGAGGUCUUCAGUGAGAGACCCAGGGCUGGCCCUCCCCAAAAGACAACAACUUGCAUCUCAGUGACUCAGUCCAGCUGGCGGGGAUGGCUGUAAACUAUGAUCAAUAAGAGUUUGUCAGUGGGUCCUAUAUCUACCCAUAUUAUCAACCCUUCUAGUCUUGUCUUUGGAGAAAUGAUAGACUCUGAGUGUGUAGCUAGAAGCUGUCCCAACCCAGAGGGUCUGAAGCCAGACUUUAAGCCCUGGAGCAAUGAGAGGCAUGAAAGUGCUAUUCCAGGGCAGGUCCCCAGGCUGGCCACAUCUGAGACAAAGGCAAGAACCUGGAGUCCACCUCUCCUGAUGGUUCCACUGGACAGAUGGUUCCACCCUGAGUCAGGAGGCAAAGGUAUAGCCAAGCUCAGGGGAUAUUAGUUGGAUCAGGUCUUCUAUCUCUAACAUAGCAAUAUGUUACCUGUGUGUGCUGCCUUGUCCCCAGGCAGGGAGCAUCCAAUGCCCCAAAUAUAUAGCUUGUCAGAUUCAGUAUCCUUCACCCCAGCCCACUAUACAGUGUCCAACGGGGCUUGUAAAUAGCUGGACAGAGACCUCAGAGGUGAGGGCUGGGUAGGUAGAUGUUAUGUAAAGAAGGGGUGAUAGGACACAGGGUGACCUAAUACCAUCACAUUGGCAGGGGUAAUACUGAGCCUUACAUACCUUCUGUGCCAUCUGUAUCUUGCCAGGUGGAGAAAACUAAGGAAUCCCAGGGACUAGACAAUGGUGGCACACACCUUUAAUCCCAACACUCUGGAGGCAGAGGCAAGCGGAUCGCUAUGAGUUUAAGGACAGCCAGAGCUGUUACACAGAGAAACCCUGUCUCAAAAAAAAAAAAAAAAGAGGAACCCCAGUGGUUUUCCGACUGCAAGAGUGGUUGAUGGGGUCCUUCCAAGAUUGCAAAAUUGUGAGUAAGCAUCCUAUUCCUCAGCAUCAGCCCCACUGGGAUGGGAUUUGGGAAAUCUUUGACCCACACAGCAGGUUCAGACAGCCCUUGCUACAACAUGGGUUUUAGGCUCCAAACACCAUGUCCAGGCUCUAGCUCUAGCUUUUACCUUACCCUCCCCAUCUUUGCGGAAGGGACACUGUGCUUUGUUUAAAUUUUUAGAAGUGAGGAAACACGGAGGAACUCUCUUUUAGGCCAUAAUGGUGGAAUAUGGCUGUCAGUUCAGCCUCGAGAAAGACAGCUGAGCUCAAGAUGCUAUGGACCCUGGACUCCCUCCCCCCAUUCUCCUAUUUUACAGUCCCCUCACCCUUUACCAGAUUGGCUUAUCCAUAGGUGUUCCUCUUUUUCUACCCCGUGGGAGGACCUCCUUACCCUGGCUGUGCUCACAACUGGUCUUUGAAUCACGUGGAACAGCCAGUGUUGGGUAUACUCCCUGUAGGGCUGAUAGUUGCAGGCAACCCACAUACACACACACACAACCUGACCCUGGGAGGGUAGCACAAGCUGUGUAGAGGGAAAAACGAUGAAACCACAUUAGUAGGAAGAAUAAAACCACACAUAUUUAUAUACAGUGUGUAAGUGUUACAACUCUAAGAGGAAAG
Cricetulus griseus (Chinese hamster) is the source of this 5754-nucleotide non-coding RNA. The record is from RefSeq and is a predicted model, not a curated record. Lineage: Eukaryota; Metazoa; Chordata; Mammalia; Rodentia; Cricetidae.